GCAAGUCGAGCGGUAACAGGAAGUAGCUUGCUACUUCGCUGACGAGUGGCGGACGGGUGAGUAAUGCUUGGGAAUUUGCCGAAAGGUGGGGGACAACAGUUGGAAACGACUGCUAAUACCGCAUAAUGUCUACGGACCAAAGGUGGCCUCUAUUUAUAUGCUAUCGCUUUUCGAUGAGCCCAAGUGGGAUUAGCUAGUUGGUAAGGUAAUGGCUUACCAAGGCGACGAUCCCUAGCUGGUCUGAGAGGAUGAUC
Molecule: ribosomal RNA, 254 nt
Filed under: uncultured bacterium
Lineage: Bacteria
Description: partial 16S ribosomal RNA
Rfam family: Bacterial small subunit ribosomal RNA
Source: RNAcentral